Molecule: microRNA precursor, 84 nt
Organism: Cavia aperea (Brazilian guinea pig)
Lineage: Eukaryota; Metazoa; Chordata; Mammalia; Rodentia; Caviidae
Product: microRNA 490
Source: Ensembl
UGGAAAGUUCAUUGUUCGGCACCAUGGAUCUCCAGGUGGGUCACGGUUAGAAAUACACCAACCUGGAGGACUCCAUGCUGUCGA